CUAUCUGAUAACUGGCCACCAGAGGGCGGCAAAGCGCUAUCAGUUGACUGCUUACAUUGGCAAUGGUCAGAACAGGGCGCGGGUGUGCAUAUUUACAAGGAGGACUGUGGAAACAGGAUGGAACUGUAUGAGUGGAAACAGACAUGCCUUCCUUGGGGGAGCACAGAAGUCCUGGGCACUCACAACAGCACUGGAGAAACCAGGUUCCCUGCCACCUUGAGGAAAGGUCUGAAGCAAGAUCAUCUCAGAAUGAAGAGCAGCAAAGGCUGGAGGGCAAUGGCAUACUGAAGAACCUACUGACUCCAUUGUAUCUUCUGUCCAAAGGGUCACCUUCUCCAGAUGCCCACCUCUAUCCUGUGGCCUGCAACUAGCAGCCUGCCCCAUCCUCUAUCCUGUGACCCGGAACUAGCAGCCUGCCCCAUCCUCUAUCCUGUGACCCGGAACUAGCAGCCUGCCCCAUCCUCUGUCCUGUGACCCGGAACUAGCAGCCUGCCCCAUCCUCUGUCCUGUGACCUGGAACUAUCAACCUGCCCCAUCCUCUGUCCUGUGACCUGGAACUAGCAGCCUGCCCCAUCCUCUAUC
RNAcentral lists this long non-coding RNA (582 nucleotides) under Mus musculus (house mouse). RNAcentral's name for it is "predicted gene 45463". The record is from RNAcentral. Lineage: Eukaryota; Metazoa; Chordata; Mammalia; Rodentia; Muridae.